This is a long non-coding RNA of Mastomys coucha (southern multimammate mouse), 613 nucleotides long. RefSeq lists it as uncharacterized. The transcript is spliced from 4 exons. The record is from RefSeq and is a predicted model, not a curated record. NCBI's taxonomy places the organism in Eukaryota, Metazoa, Chordata, Mammalia, Rodentia, Muridae.
CUUGAACCAACAACCAGCUUGAACAUCAUAGUCUAAGAAGAUGUGGGAUGUCCCCUCUGCUCAUUGGUGACUAUGGCUGCCUUACCAUAACCAUGUGCUCACCAACCUUUCUCCCGAGGGAGCCCCCAGUCUUCAGAGAGCACUCAUUGGCUGCAUUGCUUCUGGACUUAGACAGGCCCUGUGGACAAAGGUGAUAUGGACAACACACACGCUCAAGGCACAGGAUUCCACCGCCUCCCUUUCCUCCAGACUCCCAUCAUGCUUUUCAGACUCCACCUCUGGAUCCAAGACUCCAGCCAACACCAACCCCAACCGGUCCCCAGCAUCCAGACAAACCUUGACAUUAGAGGGAUCGAACAGGCCCUCUGGGAUGCGAAGCCGCUCCGCGCCAUAGUCCGUGUUGUAGCCAUUGGGCAUCUCAUAAUGCACAGUAGGCAUUUGUGCAGCUACCCUGCCCGAGAAAGGAACAAGACUCUGUGUGGCACGGUGCCCGGCGGGGUGCUCUAGAGGUUACCAUGAACCCCACUUCUGUGCCCCAUGUUUGUUUUUUGAAAUGUGGUGGGAGGGUUCUCAUGUAUCCCAAUCAUGCCUCCAAUUCAAUAAGUAGCAGAAG